RNAcentral lists this ribosomal RNA (509 nucleotides) under uncultured bacterium. RNAcentral describes it as "partial 16S ribosomal RNA". The record is from RNAcentral.
GGAGUUAGCCGGUGCUUCUUCUGUGAGUGAUGUCCUUCCUGCCGGCUAUUAACCCGCAGGCCUUCUUCCUCACUGAAAGUGCUUUACAACCCGAAGGCCUUCUUCACACACGCGGCAUGGCUGGAUCAGGGUUGCCCCCAUUGUCCAAUAUUCCCCACUGCUGCCUCCCGUAGGAGUCUGGGCCGUGUCUCAGUCCCAGUGUGGCUGAUCAUCCUCUCAGACCAGCUACGGAUCGUCGCCUUGGUGAGCCGUUACCUCACCAACCAGCUAAUCCGACAUAGGCUCAUCCGAUAGCGCGAGGCCCGAAGGUCCCCCGCUUUCCCCCGUAGGGCGUAUGCGGUAUUAGCCUGGGUUUCCCCAGGUUAUCCCCCCACUACCGGGCAGGAUUCCUAUGCAUUACUCACCCGUCCGCCGCUCGCCACCAGGGAGCAAGCUCCCCGUGCUGCCGCUCGACUUGCAUGUGUUAGGCCUGCCGCCAGCGUCAUCUGAGCCAGAAUACAACUACGUGA